UAGCAAUAUCUUGAAGUCGGAGUGGCGCAAGGGUGCGUAACACGUGGGUAAUUUGCCGUGAAGUUGGGGAUAACUCGCUGAAAGGCGAGCUAAUACCGAAUGUGAUGAUUGGGAGGCAUCUUCUGAUCUUCAAAGUUGGGGACCGCAAGGCCUGACGCUUCACGAUAAGCCCGCGGCCUAUCAGCUAGUUGGUGAGGUAACGGCUCACCAAGGCUAAGACGGGUAGCUGGUCUGAGAGGACGACCAGUCACACUGGAACUGAGACACGGUCCAGACACCUACGGGUGGCAGCAGUCGAGAAUUUUUCUCAAUGGGCGAAAGCCUGAAGGAGCGACGCCGCGUGGGGGAUGAAGGGCUUCGGCCCGUAAACCCCUGUCAUUUGCGAACAAACCUUACGGUCUAACACAUCGUGAGCUGAUUGUAGCGAAAGAGGAAGGGACGGCUAACUCUGUGCCAGCAGCCGCGGUAAUACAGAGGUCCCGAGCGUUGUUCGGAUUCACUGGGCGUAAAGGGUGCGUAGGUGGCAGGGUAAGUUUGAUGUGAAAUCUCCGGGCUUAACCCGGAAACUGCAUUGAAUACUAUCUUGCUCGAGGGUUGGAG
RNAcentral lists this ribosomal RNA (600 nucleotides) under uncultured Verrucomicrobiota bacterium. Its description in RNAcentral is "bacterial SSU rRNA". It matches the Rfam family "Bacterial small subunit ribosomal RNA", at positions 77 to 654 of the family's 1533-position model. The record is from RNAcentral. Lineage: Bacteria; Pseudomonadati; Verrucomicrobiota.